GAGGAACGCUGGCGGCGUGCCUAAUACAUGCAAGUCGAGCGAACAGACGAGGAGCUUGCUCCUCUGACGUUAGCGGCGGACGGGUGAGUAACACGUGGAUAACCUACCUAUAAGACUGGGAUAACUUCGGGAAACCGGAGCUAAUACCGGAUAAUAUAUUGAACCGCAUGGUUCAAUAGUGAAAGACGGUUGUGCUGGCACUUAUAGAUGGAUCCGCGCCGCAUUAGCUAGUUGGUAAGGUAACGGCUUACCAAGGCAACGAUGCGUAGCCGACCUGAGAGGGUGAUCGGCCACACUGGAACUGAGACACGGUCCAGACUCCUACGGGAGGCAGCAGUAGGGAAUCUUCCGCAAUGGGCGCAAGCCUGACGGAGCAACGCCGCGUGAGUGAUGAAGGUCUUCGGAUCGUAAAACUCUGUUAUUAGGGAAGAACAAAUGUGUAAGUAACUAUGCACGUCUUGACGGUACCUAAUCAGAAAGCCACGGCUCCCUACGUG
This 497-nucleotide ribosomal RNA is filed under the name uncultured bacterium. RNAcentral's name for it is "partial 16S ribosomal RNA". It matches the Rfam family "Bacterial small subunit ribosomal RNA", at positions 28 to 507 of the family's 1533-position model. The record is from RNAcentral.